This 777-nucleotide ribosomal RNA is filed under the name uncultured bacterium. RNAcentral's name for it is "bacterial SSU rRNA". It matches the Rfam family "Bacterial small subunit ribosomal RNA", at positions 48 to 838 of the family's 1533-position model. The record is from RNAcentral.
CUAACACAUGCAAGUCGAACGAGAGAGAGGGAGCUUGCUUCCUCGAUCGAGUGGCGAACGGGUGAGUAACGCGUGAGGAACCUGCCUCAAAGAGGGGGACAACAGUUGGAAACGACUGCUAAUACCGCAUAAGCCCACGGCUCGGCAUCGAGCAGAGGGAAAAGGAGCAAUCCGCUUUGAGAUGGCCUCGCGUCCGAUUAGCUAGUUGGUGAGGUAAUGGCCCACCAAGGCGACGAUCGGUAGCCGGACUGAGAGGUUGAACGGCCACAUUGGGACUGAGACACGGCCCAGACUCCUACGGGAGGCAGCAGUGGGGAAUAUUGCACAAUGGGGGAAACCCUGAUGCAGCGACGCCGCGUGGAGGAAGAAGGUCUUCGGAUUGUAAACUCCUGUUGUUGAGGAAGAUAAUGACGGUACUCAACAAGGAAGUGACGGCUAACUACGUGCCAGCAGCCGCGGUAAAACGUAGGUCACAAGCGUUGUCCGGAAUUACUGGGUGUAAAGGGAGCGCAGGCGGGCGAUCAAGUUGGAAGUGAAAUCCAUGGGCUCAACCCAUGAACUGCUUUCAAAACUGAUUGUCUUGAGUAGUGCAGAGGUAGGCGGAAUUCCCGGUGUAGCGGUGGAAUGCGUAGAUAUCGGGAGGAACACCAGUGGCGAAGGCGGCCUACUGGGCACCAACUGACGCUGAGGCUCGAAAGUGUGGGUAGCAAACAGGAUUAGAUACCCUGGUAGUCCACACCGUAAACGAUGAUUACUAGGUGUUGGAGGAUUGACCCC